Molecule: transfer RNA, 84 nt
Filed under: Cricetulus griseus (Chinese hamster)
Lineage: Eukaryota; Metazoa; Chordata; Mammalia; Rodentia; Cricetidae
Description: tRNA-Lys (CTT) (tRNA-Lys-CTT-28-1)
Rfam family: tRNA (bases 16-79)
About the family: Transfer RNA (tRNA) molecules are approximately 80 nucleotides in length. Their secondary structure includes four short double-helical elements and three loops (D, anti-codon, and T loops).
Source: RNAcentral
GCCCUCUCCACUUUUAGCUAGCUCAGUCGGUAGAGCAUGAGACUCUUAAUCUCAGGGUCGUGGGUUCGUGCCCCACGUUGGGCG